Thalassophryne amazonica is the source of this 1136-nucleotide long non-coding RNA. RefSeq lists it as uncharacterized. The record is from RefSeq and is a predicted model, not a curated record. The transcript has 2 exons. Lineage: Eukaryota; Metazoa; Chordata; Actinopteri; Batrachoidiformes; Batrachoididae.
CAGACUGUUGGUUUCCAGAUGUUCCUAUAAUCAGGAGGGCAUCACAUUUGCUGAAGUCAAAGUCUGAAUCUUGAUUUGUGAUCAUAUACAAGUCUGGUUUUAUGCUUUAUCAUUCCAGAGGGAGGUGAUAACAUCAUGAAAAAUGAUUGGGCUUUCAAAUUCAUGCUUUCAAACACAACUGGAGUUUUAUUUAUUGAAUAAAUUAGCAGUUUAGGAACAUAGGUUUUAAAUGUAACAGAACGGGACACUACGGGUUACAUUCAACACCACAUUUUUGGCACGCUCUCUGCAGCCGUACUGAGUGAUAAAGACACUGGUCUUUGGGGGGGGACGAAGGUUGGCCACAAAAUUUCUCUUAAAAAUUUAAUUUUGAGCAAAGGUCAAGGAAUUAGGUUCCAACUUGAUUUGAACCAAAUGUGCCACAUGUAUUUUGCAGUGUGGCCAUCAAAUCAGAAGUAAAUUCAGAUAAAUUAGUUGAAGUGAUUGUUGUUUAUUUUUACCAAAAUAAAAAAUAGUAGUGUGUCACAAAUUUGGUGAGAUUUGGUGUCCCGCUUUUCAGAAAUAAACUCAAAAAGGAAAAAUUCCAAGAUAAUUAUGUCUUCUAUGUUAUCAGUUAUUUAAUCAAUAUAUAGAGACAAUCAUUUUAUAUUUUUUUUCCUGCACAUAGGGCUGUUCUGUUUUUACUGAUCAGUAAUGUUGGCUUGUGUAAUGGUGACCCCUUUUCAUGAAGUGACACAUGGAGGUGGGUGGUAGAAUUGCUAGGCAAGGUUCAAUUUGGCAAAUGUCUUCCUGUGUAUUUGCUGGCCUGCUUCUCCCAGGUAUUUUUGCUGAUUUCUAUCAAACUUGGUAUGUGAACGAAGGUUGGCCACAAAAUUUCCCUUAAAAAUUUAAUUUUGAGCAAAGGUCAAGGAAUUAGUAUUCCAACUUGAUUUGAACCAAAUGUGCCACACAUAUUAAUGUAUACCAGAACUGCCCUGGCAAGGCCAGACAGAGGUCAAUCAGUUGGGUGAACGUCAAGGUCAAAUGCUGAAUUGCUAUAGCCCUUAGUGUCAUUAUGCCCACGGGUGCUACUACCUCAUAAAAUAAGGAAAUAAUGGAUGUACAAUGAGUAUAAUCUGACAUUUUAUGAAGUCAUA